RNAcentral lists this ribosomal RNA (362 nucleotides) under uncultured Verrucomicrobiota bacterium. RNAcentral describes it as "bacterial SSU rRNA". It matches the Rfam family "Bacterial small subunit ribosomal RNA", at positions 703 to 1060 of the family's 1533-position model. The record is from RNAcentral. Lineage: Bacteria; Pseudomonadati; Verrucomicrobiota.
AUUAGACCAGUGGCGAAGGCGAAUGCCUGGGCAAUUCCUGACACUGAGGCACGAAGGCCAGGGGAGCAAACGGGAUUAGAUACCCCGGUAGUCCUGGCAGUAAACGGUGCACGUUUGGUGUGGGAGGAUUCGACCCCUUCCGUGCCGGAGCUAACGCGUUAAACGUGCCGCCUGGGGAGUACGGUCGCAAGAUUAAAACUCAAAGAAAUUGACGGGGACCCGUACAAGCGGUGGAGUAUGUGGCUUAAUUCGAUGCAACGCGAAGAACCUUACCUGGCCUUGACAUGCAUCUCUAAUCCGGUGAAAGCCGGUGAGUGUAGCAAUACACAAUUUGCACAGGUGCUGCAUGGCUGUCGUCAGCU